Penaeus vannamei (Pacific white shrimp) is the source of this 311-nucleotide non-coding RNA. NCBI's taxonomy places the organism in Eukaryota, Metazoa, Arthropoda, Malacostraca, Decapoda, Penaeidae. The record is from RefSeq and is a predicted model, not a curated record.
AGAGAAACUGCAAUCGCCUUCUUUGACCUGAAGCAACGACUCAUUCUACGACACUUCCUGAAGAAACACGGCACUGAGUCGGGACUUCCAAGGCUGGAGACUCUAGGCAUACGUACCCUAAAGGAGGCUGUGUACAUGGUGGAUGCUUUUCCGCUUGAGUUUAAUGAUGAUAAGGACGACAGCCUGAACAGCCUCCUGCAGAGACUCCCGAGGGACAAAAAGGAAAUGGAAGUUUUGUCCGAUGAAUUGUGGUCGGAGAUUGCGUCGUUGUAUAACCUUCCAAGCUCCCGAGGAUGGGGCAUAGCCUAUGG